UGGCUCAGGACGAACGCUGGCGGCGUGCCUAACACAUGCAAGUCGAACGGGGAUUUGUUUCGGCAGAAUCCUAGUGGCGAACGGGUGAGUAACGCGUAGGCAACCUGCCCUCCGGCCGGGGACAACACUCCGAAAGGGGUGCUAAUACCGGAUACGAAGUCUGUGCCGCAUGGUACGGAUUUGAAAGAUGGCCUCUAUUUAUAAGCUAUCGCCGGGGGAUGGGCCUGCGUCCGAUUAGCUGGUUGGUGGGGUAACGGCCUACCAAGGCGACGAUCGGUAGCCGGUCUGAGAGGAUGAACGGCCACAUUGGGACUGAGACACGGCCCAGACUCCUACGGGAGGCAGCAGUGGGGAAUCUUCCGCAAUGGGCGCAAGCCUGACGGAGCAACGCCGCGUGAGUGAGGAAGUUCUUCGGAACGUAAAGCUCUGUUGUUCCUGACGAACCUCCCUUCUAUCAACAACGGAGGGGACUGACGGUAGGGAACGAGGAAGCCACGGCUAACUACGUGCCAGCAGCAGC
RNAcentral lists this ribosomal RNA (520 nucleotides) under uncultured bacterium. RNAcentral's name for it is "bacterial SSU rRNA". It matches the Rfam family "Bacterial small subunit ribosomal RNA", at positions 20 to 518 of the family's 1533-position model. The record is from RNAcentral.